UACGGAGGGUGCGAGCGUUAAUCGGAAUUACUGGGCGUAAAGCGCACGUAGGUGGUUGGGUAAGUCGGAUGUGAAAGCCCUGGGCUUAACCUGGGAACUGCAUUCGAUACUGCCCGGCUAGAGUAUGGGAGAGGGAAGCGGAAUUUCCGGUGUAGCGGUGAAAUGCGUAGAUAUCGGAAGGAACACCAGUGGCGAAGGCGGCUUCCUGGCCCAAUACUGACGUUCAGGUGCGAAAGCGUGGGGAGCAAACAGG
RNAcentral lists this ribosomal RNA (253 nucleotides) under uncultured bacterium. RNAcentral describes it as "partial 16S ribosomal RNA". It matches the Rfam family "Bacterial small subunit ribosomal RNA", at positions 524 to 776 of the family's 1533-position model. The record is from RNAcentral.